CCACGUGUAGCAGUGAAAUGCGUAGAGAUGUGGAGGAACACCGAUGGCGAAGGCAGCCCCCUGGGAUGACACUGACGCUCAUGUACGAAAGCGUGGGUAGCAAACAGGAUUAGAUACCCUGGUAGUCCACGCCCUAAACGAUGUCAACUGGUUGUUGGGGGAGUGAAAUCCCUUAGUAACGAAGCUAACGCGUGAAGUUGACCGCCUGGGGAGUACGGUCGCAAGAUUAAAACUCAAAGGAAUUGACGGGGACCCGCGCAAGCGGUGGAUGAUGUGGAUUAAUUCGAUGCAACGCGAAAAACCUUACCUACCCUUGACAUGUCCAGGAUCCUGCAGAGAUGCGGGAGUGCCCGAAAGGGAAUUGGAACACAGGUGCUGCAUGGCUGUCGUCAGCUCGUGUCGUGAGAUGUUGGGUUAAGUCCCGCAACGAGCGCAACCCUUAUCAUUAGUUGCUACGCAAGGGCACUCUAAUGAGACUGCCGGUGACAAACCGGAGGAAGGUGGGGAUGACGUCAAGUCCUCAUGGCCCUUAUGGGUAGGGCUUCACACGUCAUACAAUGGUCGGUACAGAGGGUUGCCAAGCCGCGAGGUGGAGCCAAUCCCAGAAAGCCGAUCGUAGUCCGGAUUGUUCUCUGCAACUCGAGAGCAUGAAGUCGGAAUCGCUAGUAAUCGCGGAUCAGCAUGUCGCGGUGAAUACGUUCCCGGGUCUUGUACACACCGCCCGUCACACCAUGGGAGUGGAAUCUGGCAGAAGUAGGUAGCCUAACCGCUAGGGGGGCGCUUACCUCGCUGGGUUUCAUGACUGGGGUGAAGUCGUA
Molecule: ribosomal RNA, 818 nt
Filed under: uncultured bacterium
Lineage: Bacteria
Description: bacterial SSU rRNA
Rfam family: Bacterial small subunit ribosomal RNA
Source: RNAcentral